Molecule: non-coding RNA, 30 nt
Filed under: Rattus norvegicus (Norway rat)
Lineage: Eukaryota; Metazoa; Chordata; Mammalia; Rodentia; Muridae
Source: RNAcentral
UACAGCAGGAUCAGGAGCUGAUGGUGUUUU